UAAAAUGAAAUCAUUAGAUAUUUCAUUUACAAUGAAAGUUUGUUUUAUAGACCAUUUUAA
Molecule: transfer RNA, 60 nt
Filed under: Ixodes vespertilionis
Lineage: Eukaryota; Metazoa; Arthropoda; Arachnida; Ixodida; Ixodidae
Description: tRNA-Val
Source: RNAcentral